GACGAACGCUGGCGGCGUGCUUAACACAUGCAAGUCGAACGGAAAGGCCCUGCCUUGGUGGGGUGCUCGAGGGGCGAACGGGUGAGUAACACGUGAGUAAGCUGCACCUGACUUAGGGAUAACUUCAGGAAACUGGGGCUAAUACCGGAUAGGAGCUCUUGCUGCAUGGUGGGGGUGGGAAAGUUUCGGCGGUUGGGGAUGGACUCGCCGCUUAUCAGCAUGAUGGUUGGGUAGUGGCUUAGCAAGGCUUGGACGCGUAGCCGACCUGGGAGGGUGACCGGCGCCAACGGGACUGGGCUACGACCCAGACUCCUACGUGGGGGAGCAGUGGAGAAUAUUCCACACUACGCGGAAGCCUGUUGCGAUCACGCCGCGUCCGGGAUGUCGUCCUUCGCGUUGUAAACUGAUUUCGCCUGAGACGAGCCGAGAAUGACGGUAAUGGGUAAAGAAGCACCGGCUAACUACGUG
RNAcentral lists this ribosomal RNA (468 nucleotides) under uncultured bacterium. RNAcentral's name for it is "partial 16S ribosomal RNA". It matches the Rfam family "Bacterial small subunit ribosomal RNA", at positions 28 to 507 of the family's 1533-position model. The record is from RNAcentral.